AUUAUACUGUUUAUCAGAACGCAAUUCCUGAACAGCGUUAGGGUUUUGCAAGAAAGUGACGAGAGGAGCGGCGGCAUCUUCCAAAGCUUUGAGACGAGCGACAACUUCGACUCUCCUCUCGACCAUGUCCUGAGGGACAUCAUCGGUGCGGUAAAGGCUCUUAUGGAUAUCCAUAGCGUAAUCGACCAUGUUUGUCUUGUUCAAAAGCUCAAUCUUUGCUUUCAAGAUCUGUUCAUCUGGGUAUAGUUGUCGCUCUUGCAAGAACUCCAGCAAUGGAAACACUAAGUGCCUGUCUAGGUUCGGGCCGAUACGUGGGGUUAGAUCGUAAGUAGCCAUUGCCAGGGUUUACUCUGGUUUCUGGUUUCGUGCUUUUUGUUUGAUAUAAACAAAUUUAUACUAUAUAUAUUCCUUCUCCACUCCCUUAAUUCAACUGGAGUUAAGAGUUAAAAUAUAGUUUUAAAUUAUUUUUUAUUUUCGAAUUAAAUAUAAUAAGUUGUUUUUACAAAAAAAAAAAUACAAACGAGUUUAAAAAAAUUUUAUUAAUAUUAUUUAUAAUAAUUACUAGAUAAUUGUUGGUCAUGCUUAAGUAAUUAAAUACGAUACUAAUAUAUUUUAUACUUAUUUAAAUUUAUUUUGAUCUGAAAUAUAUGUUUAAAAUUUCGUUUAAGUCACAUAUUGUUUGUAUUCCUCCUCAUCCUUCUUUGGGUACAAACAAUAUUAUUUGGGCACGCACGAUUUUAGGUUUUUUUAUCCAUAACGCCUUUUGGUUUUUUUUAAAAAGUUUUUGGAACCCAUAGUUGAAAAUUUCAAGGGCCACAAAGAGUUAAAUUUUUUCUUUAACUAGCCUUCAAACAAAGACUUUGUCUAAUAUGGAGUGAACUAGGAGGAACUGAUCAUAAUAUCUCACGUCUUGUUUGUGGCCAUGAAAUAGAAGACAUGCUCCAUGUGCUUCAAGAUUGUUCGACAACAAAGGAAGUUUGGUUAUAGGUAAUAUCUUUUGAUAGACAACAAUGUUUCUUCUCUAGGUCUCUUCCGGAAUGGUUGACUUUAAAUCUUGUCUAUCACGUCCAAUUACCUAGUAAGGGGUAAUUUGUCCUUGUUUAUUCGGUUUGAUUGCGUGGCGCAUUUGGAAGAAUAGGGACCUAUUCAUCUUUCAAGACAUCACUUUGAUGACUUUUGAUACUAUCAAAGUCUAGUUCAGUUAGGUACAACAGUUUGAGUUAAGUCACAAAGGCCAUCAGGUGGACAUACUUGUCCACUAACGAAGCAGUAGGUAGUGGUGAUGGCAAUGCUUCCGUUAGAGGUGUUCCACAGGACCAACAUGAGAACUGGAUAUUGGGAUUUAAUCACUACUUAGGGCGAUGGUCAGUUUUUAAGGCUGAGUUACGGUGAAUUUUAGAUGGCCUAUUAGUAUUGCUUAGCAAAGGAUUCAGAAAGGCCGCGAUUCAGUCUAAGGUGGUUAAGUUGGUUAACAAGUUCUGGUAUUACAAUGUUUAAAAGGAUCCCGAGAAUUUUAUGAGCUAAAGGACAAUAGAGCAUUAGACACGUGCUUAGAGAACCCAAUCAUGCUGCUGAUUAUUUGACUAACAUGAAUUUACUCAAGCCUUCAUGUCUUUGAUGUUACCCCAAAUGAAAUUCUAUAGAUUAUACAACCAGACAAGAAAGUUUUUGUUAAUCUCGUGUUGAUGUAGUUCAGUUUUUUAUUUAAACACUAAAAAACAAAUUUCGUUUAAGUGUACCCAUAUUUGUAACAUAUUUGUAAAUGGAUCAUUAUUAUCUUUAAGAGAGAGAUCCACUUACAUAUUAUUAUUUUUAAUAACACAUUUAAAUCCAAAGUUCUCAAAUCUCAACACAACGCUAUACUUUUAAUAACUCGGUACAAGCAUUUAAAAAAUUUCUUGACAUAAGUUGAAAGAGCAGAAUACAAUUUGGAUUUAGAUAAUGAUUUAUCAGUCUUGUUCCUACUCAAAAACUAAAAUCACUGUUAAAUUUGUCUGAAAGAAAUAAACAAUCAGCAAAUAGCUCAAAAUUGCAUAUAAAUUCAAGAGCUUCCUCGUCCAACUUAACGUGCAGGCUGCGCUUGUGCGGGUUCGAGAAGCUGGCCGACUAGCUUGUAGGUCCGCCCUUGAAGGGCCUUAGUGUGGUCGAUUAGCUGCUCGUAACUGCAGAAAUCCAGUAUCGAAAUUGGAAGUCAUUAAGAGAAGAGGAACAAACAAAUGUAGUUAUGGAAGGAACAUAGUAUGAAAGAUGCACAAUACAAAGAACAAGGAGAUCUUACACAUUAGGUUGAUUAGGCUCCAUAAUAACAGUUCCAGUCUCUGAAUCAAUCUUUGCAUCAAGUUUCGAGUUUCGAAUGAGAUUCACAAUCCACCUCUCACCCUCCUCGUAAUUUAAGUUCAGUUUCUCAAAAAGCACCCUUGAAACACAUACAAAAUCAUUUAAUGUAGGAUCAAAAUCUAAAACAAGCAAUUAAAACAACAUAAUCUCAUAAGUAAAAGCAUAUCUUGAAAGAGUUAAGAAGACCAAUGGGAAGUAAUCACUAUAAUAAGAGAUACUCAAGUCCAUGUUACUCAGAUUUGGGUGAGUUUCAGAUACCGGUAUGUUUAAUUGUUUUCUAAGUUUUUCCAUGUAUUGAAGGAUCAUAUCUUCAUAACCGCAAGACAAAUACUUCAAGAAAAAUGAACAGUCAGGAAAUGCAUAGAUAAUAGCAAACCAAAGGUUUAUGUUGUGAUGUUUUGUGAUCUGUGCACGUGCCUCUGUGCAGAUGAAAACAUGCAUUACAUCUGUUUUGAUUUAAUAUUUUGUACAAAAUUUCAUCAAUCCUUAACAUGCAAUUAGCCAAAAAAAAUUCAUAACUCAGUGCAAUGUUAUGGGAAACCCACCAUGCAAAGCAGACUGUGAGCCUAUCGACAAUUUAACAUUCAAAUGGAAGUCAUUCCGUGUCAUUUACUCAUAAGAAGAAGUCAAUUAUACACAUAAGAAGCUAAUUAUAUAAGUUUGACAAAGCAGGAACUUACCCCAUAUCAAUGCGCUGAUGAAUUCUGCAGUAUGUCUCGAAGAUAAAUAAACGAGCAUUCUCAAGAAACUCAUCUUUUAAUGGGACAGUAGAAAAGUUGCCCUCUUCAACUCUUUUUCCAAGGAAGGGAUCAUUCAGUAUCACCUACAACAAAGACAGGAAAACUAAGGGUGUAAUAGAUAGAGCCUACAAUUCCAAUAUCAAACAAAAAGCUAAAGGCAACCAAAACAGAUGACAAAACUUCAAGCUAAAACAUUGCACAAAUUUAUGGUAUAAGAUAGUACAAUCUAACUUACUUCUUCGCACUCCUUCAUCUUCUUCUGUGCUCCGUCAAAUUCAUAGUUGACAUAAACACAUGCCAAAAACUCCGUGAUGGGAUCUUUGUAAGAGCAUUGAUCUUGCUGGAUAACCUUGAUAAAUUCUUUGAAUUGAGGUCUUCUCCUUUUGUUAACAAUAAAAGCAGUGGCUAAGUACCUUAGAAGAUGGGGAGCACUGGUUUGAAUGGCGUUUAGAUACCUGGAAAGAAGUGAAAUCACCUCGUAAGAUGAGUCAAAUACACAAAGUUGGAUAAUAUAAACCCAGAGAAAAUAAUGCGUUAACCAAUGAAAAAAAGCAGUAAAAACAUCUAAAUUCAAACACAAUUUUAUGUUUAGUUCCAACAACAAUCUCCCUUAUGAAACAAAAUUCCAAAAUAAGCAGUAUGGCAAACAUAUCACCUACUUUAGCCUCAAAACUUUGAACAAACAUUUUGCAAAUUACAUGGCAGGCUGUGCGUUAACUUUUCAUAUUAGAAAAACCAUGCAAAUGAUAAAAGAUAUCCACAAAGUUUCUAAACAUGUUCCAUUCCAACACAAUCAAAACCGAAGCAUGUGAACACAGCAGGAUCUUGAAACAGAAGUAAGUCAUGGCAUAAAAAGACAGGAAAAUGCACAAAGAACAAAUAAGCACAGAUGUGACUACCACACAAAUGAUGCAACUAACAACAUCAGUAACAAGACAUGGAAACCUUAAGUUUAGUUGUUAAAGUGACAUACUUGUCUUGAUUAAAUAGGUCGAUGAUCUGUGUUCUUCCAUUGUCAUGGUUGAAAAAGAUGAAGAGGCUCCAAUGCAUAAGCCAUAUUCUACUCUGAACUUGGUUCAAAGGUGAUGAGAAGCUCUGCAGCAAAAAGACCAAUAAAUGAGUCAACGAAUAAUCGGAAAGCAAAUUGUCAAAACAAAAACCGAAUAAUCAACGGGGAUAUAACCAAAACCUUGGAAUCGAUUAUUUCUUUCAAACGAUUAAGUUCUUCAAGAGCAAUAUCCCAGUUUUGCAUCAGUAUCUCGGCAGCAAGCUUCCCCCACAAUGCACUCAAGCUCCUUUCGCUGUUAGUACAUAAAGCCCGAUACUGAUACAGAUAGUCAGCAGCACCAGAGUAGUUGCCACACUCAAAUUGGAAUUUUGCAUACUGAUAUAAUGCCUCUAUUUGAUCUGGACCAAUCUGUUAAAAAUAUAAUUUUAUCCACCAUUAAAUUAAAAAAAACUUUAAUUAAUUCAAACCCAGGCAAAAUCAAAACUUUAACAACAAAGAGCAUGCUAGAAUUUUAGCACAAGAAAGCCUAUGCAUCUAUUUGGUUAUUCUUUAUAUUUUCCUUAAAAAUCACAUAAUGUUAUGACCAAUACAAAUUCACACUUGAAUGGGUUAUUCACUAAAAAUCAAGAAGGGGUUAAAAUAACAUAAAAAUAACCUUAAAUUCAUCAAAAAGGGGGGGGGGGGAACAGACCUGGUAGCGGUCAUUAAGCAUCUGGAGAUUAUACUGUUUAUCAGCACGCAGUUCCUGAACAGCGUUAGGGUUUUGCAAGAAAGUGACGAGAGGAGCAGCGGCAUCUUCCAAAGCUUUGAGACGAGCGACAACCUCGACUCUCCUAUCGACCAUGUCCUGAGGAACAUCAUCGGUGCGGUAAAGGCUCUUAUGGAUAUCCAUAGCGUAAUCGACCAUGUUUGUCUUGUUCAAAAGCUCAAUCUUUGCUUUCAAGAUCUGUUCAUCUGGGUAUAGUUGUCGCUCUUGCAAGAACUCCAGCAAUGGAAACACUAAG
Molecule: long non-coding RNA, 5090 nt
Filed under: Gossypium raimondii (Peruvian cotton)
Lineage: Eukaryota; Viridiplantae; Streptophyta; Magnoliopsida; Malvales; Malvaceae
Description: long non-coding RNA (GRAI_LNC005982)
Source: RNAcentral